AUUGAACGCUGGCGGCAUGCCUUACACAUGCAAGUCGAACGGCAGCACGGGUGCUUGCACCUGGUGGCGAGUGGCGAACGGGUGAGUAAUACAUCGGCACAUGUCCUGUAGUGGGGGAUAGCCCGGCGAAAGCCGGAUUAAUACCGCAUACGAUCUACGGAUGAAAGCGGGGGACCUUCGGGCCUCGCGCUAUAGGGUUGGCCGAUGGCUGAUUAGCUAGUUGGUGGGGUAAAGGCCUACCAAGGCGACGAUCAGUAGCUGGUCUGAGAGGACGACCAGCCACACUGGGACUGAGACACGGCCCAGACUCCUACGGGAGGCAGCAGUGGGGAAUUGUGGACAAUGGGCGAAAGCCUGAUCCAGCAAUGCCGCGUGUGUGAAGAAGGCCUUCGGGUUGUAAAGCACUUUUGUCCGGAAAGAAAUCCUUGGCCCUAAUACGGUCGGGGGAUGACGGUACCGGAAGAAUAAGCACCGGCUAACUACGUG
Molecule: ribosomal RNA, 486 nt
Filed under: uncultured bacterium
Lineage: Bacteria
Description: partial 16S ribosomal RNA
Rfam family: Bacterial small subunit ribosomal RNA
Source: RNAcentral